Molecule: non-coding RNA, 30 nt
Filed under: Rattus norvegicus (Norway rat)
Lineage: Eukaryota; Metazoa; Chordata; Mammalia; Rodentia; Muridae
Source: RNAcentral
UAAAGUUUGGUGAAAGGUGUUCAAUGACCC